CGAGACGUAGCUACAAUACAAAGCAUUCAGCUUACACCUGAAAGAUAUCUGUUACUACUCAGAUCGUCUCGA
This 72-nucleotide transfer RNA is filed under the name Platalea leucorodia (Eurasian spoonbill). Its description in RNAcentral is "tRNA-Val". The record is from RNAcentral. Lineage: Eukaryota; Metazoa; Chordata; Aves; Pelecaniformes; Threskiornithidae.